Molecule: long non-coding RNA, 6811 nt
Organism: Erpetoichthys calabaricus (reedfish)
Lineage: Eukaryota; Metazoa; Chordata; Cladistia; Polypteriformes; Polypteridae
Exons: 4
Source: RefSeq, a predicted model, not a curated record
ACGAGCCGCGCCGAAAUUCCCCAUCUCUGCGCCUUCGCUCGGGCCGCAGCGCGCGGGUGGCGCGUCACAGUGCACGCGGAAAAAGGGACCGGGCGGCGCCCGUCCCACAACUCCUUGCAGGGGCCCUACAAUGACAAAUUUCAGAAGUUUCUUUUUUUUUUUCGGCGCCAUUUUCGAUUGGGCUGGAGGUAAGGAGGGCUUUUUUCGGGGGAAUUAUUUUGCAGGAUUUUUUCCUUCUUUCUGAUUGCACUGAUCGGGGUGGCUAGAAAGAGACGUCCUGAUGCAUUAUAAUUGCUGGUUUGCAACGCCCCCUCCUUUCGCGUUGAAAUGAAAUAUCGAAUUAAGGAAUGGUUGUGACCAUAAAAAUGUGUGUCGAAAUGGCAAAAUAGUAUAGGGUAUGUGGGGGAAAAUUACGAGACGCGAUGUUAAGUAGGAACAUCGAUUUCUGUUUGGAAGAGAAAGGGGUACCGAGAAACAGAAGCGAAUGCAAGAAAGAUAGAAAUGUAAACGCUGGGUAGUUUUGUCAACACGUUUAAUAGAGUUUAUCGAAGAAACGCAGAAUUAAUCACACAAGCGAGGUAUCGCGCAAAAACCCACUAAUAACGAUAUGGGACUCUUUUGGAAAGUUUACAAAGUGUAUAGCGUUCUCCGAGAAACGGCGUUUUCCUUUUAUUCUUCGAGACUUUCGGUCAUUUUUUUUCGCUCUGAAGGCAAACGGCGGCAGGUUUUUCUUUUCCCUUCUCGUGUUUCUGCGUGUCGGUUGCUUUUUGGAAGCCGUGUGUACGAAGCGACAGGAGCGAGCGAGCGAAGCGGGGCUGCCACGAAAGGCAAAAGAAAAACAAAUCUCAUUGUCUCCACGGGAGUACUUCGUCUGGGUGUCAGCAGAGAGCAAGCGAAGCGCUUUUAUGUCUUUUCAGGUAUUUGACUCCAGCUGCACGCAAGAAAUGCAGCCUAAAGUGGAAGCAGGAAUAUUCAGUAUGUAGACUGCAACAUAUGUGAGUGAUGCAUUGGAUAGAUAUAUAAAAGGAGAGGCAGCUUAGGGGAUAAAGUCUGAAAGCAAGUUAAGGGCUAGAAUUAUCCAACUGUGUGAUACAGCCCACACAAAAGGAAUUAGUAAGGAGUCGCCUGAAUCCAUUCUUUGUGAGUAUUUAAACAUGAGUGAGGUCUGUGGACACUGGAGGCUUGGAAUCCUGAAGUGAAUUAUCAGAAGUAUCAGCAUGUCUAGUGUUCCAAGGAAAAUGUGUAAUGAAUUUCCUCUGGGAGAAAUUUCAGAAGCCUUUCAUAACUGGGGAUGAAAUUUGGAUUUAUCAUUUUUAACCCAAAGUCCAAACAAUAAUUGAAACGAUGGAAGAAUGAGGUUACUCCAACACCGAAUAAAUUCAAGGUUCAAUCCACAGCUGGGCAAGAUGUGCUCAAUUUUUUCUGAUUUUGAGAGUGCAGUCUAGACUGACUACAUGUUUUAGAAUGCCCACAUAAGUGGUCAGCAUUACAGUAAUUUUCUUUGGUGUUUGCAAUAAUCGGUCAUUGAAAAGCAGCUAGAAGACCUUGUGAUCAUCCAUCCCCCUUGUGUUUCAUGACAAUGCUCCACUCACACUGCAGCAAAGGCUGCUGUUUGAAAUUGUGUGUUCAAAGACACCCCAUACUCUCACUGUUUUCCACACCUGGCUCUAAGUAACAAGUGCGUAUCUCCCAAAUCUGAAGCUCUACCUUUUUUCAUUCCUCUGGCAAUGAUAAAAAAUGUCAAGUCAGCUACAGAAGACUGGUUGUACAAGCAAGACAAAAUGUUUAAUACGAGAUGCAUUGAAAUGCUUUGCAAAUGUUAAUAAUCCCUGUGAACACUAAUACAUUUUUUGUUUUGGAAAAAUAAAACGUUCUUUUUUUACUAUUGUUUCUCUUAAUAGGACAUCCUGAAAACUUGAUUGAUCUUAUUUUUUAAAUCAACCUUUGUAAAAUAUAUUGAACAGUGAUUUUGUGUGGUGUAUGGCUGACAAAGUUACCAAAAAGGCAAGAUGAACAGACUUUACAGAUUAAUAAUGUCAUAAACAGAAUGUUUGAAGCUUGCAUCCUGUGUAUGUUUUAACAAUUUGUGAGUGAUUUUCAUUUAUUAUAGCCACUUUUCAAAUAUCAUCUUAGAAGGUCAGCAUGUAUUUUAGUUUUACUUCCUUCUAUAUGCAUUAAUUUACAGAGGUAGGUUUUAGUCCACAUACUGUAUAAACGUGUCCAGAUAACUUACAGUAUUUCAGCAGGCCAUGUAAUAAUGCCUUUGUCUUUGCAGAUAUGAUUAAGUUGGAGACUGUCGAUAAGUAGAAACAAAAAGAAAAGGAUUUUUUUUUUCCUUAAGCUAACUGUUGGGUCAUAUUUAAGUGUUUAAAUUGGGUAUUACAAAAUGUGACUCUCUGGAGAGCUUUCAGAAAAAGGACUUGAAAAGCACAAGCUCUCCAGACUGAGACUUCUGGCUUAGGUCAAUUCCAUUAUGACCCAAAUGAUCUCUUUCCACAGCAUUUGUAAACCUUUAUUUUCCUUAUUCUUUCUUAAAACUUGCAAUCAGUAUAAUUCAUGUGUUAAUUUAGCAGCACAUCAUGGUUUGCAGUGAUUUGGAGAUGCAGACCAUAUUGAGCUGCCCCAUUAAUGCUACACUGUCAGCUAAAGAUGACAUAACGUUUGUAUCCUUUUAUGAAAAUUGGGCCUGGAAGCGUAAAGUAAGAUUGUGGUCCGUGUCCAUGUAGAACCCAAAAAUACAUAACAUAGUGAAUAUGGUGAUUGUACAGCAUGCCAGAAAGUGUGAGCACAUGCAAGUAUCGAACAUUAGUCAGCAGUGUUGAAGCAGCACGUAUAUACUGGAGUCUCACUCUGUCAUCUCUCCAGUGUUACGUUUCUGCUCUGAUAAGGCUGACAUUAACCUAUUUCUGAAUUGUGCCUGAAUAUUCAGAUACUGUGGCACCUGAAUAAUGGAAGGUUAAAAUCCUUUCCACACAUACACCGCAGUACUAAAGAAGUUACAGAGAGAUUGGCUCUUAUAGGCUAAACAUAUUAGUAGAUCUGAUCCUAAAUGAACAAGCAAAUGUGAAAUGGGUGUGUAUUAAGGAGUAUAUAUUAAUACUCUGACAGCAGACAUUGUUUGAAAUGGCAUAUAGCCCUGGCAUCAUUCAGAAUAUAUCCUUAUACAAUUACUGUGCAGACAGUAGCUGCAAACCCAAAAUUCAGAUUGAAUAAAAGGCAUUUAUACCAUCAUGUCCAGUUUCUGGAAUAGCACCAACACAUUAGAGUGUAAAACAGGUUUUAACACAAUUUUUCAGUCCUCCUGUAGCAACACAGUUAUUAACAUAUUGUUGCAUUGAAUUUAGUCUAAAUAUAAAAAUAAGGAUCUGAAAAUAGUCCUGUUCAUCAAAAGUAACAGUGAUAUCAAUUUCAACAUCCUUUAUUGAGAUGAGAAGUAUUUAAAAUACUGUCUGAUAGAGGCAAUUUUAAAUUACAAAACAAUUGUGCAUUUUAUAUGAAGAAAGAAGAAAACUUGAAUACCUUAAAUUGUUUAAAAAUUCUUAGUUUAAUAAACAAUCACAAGUAAAAGCUAUACAACACUGCUUUUGCCAUUUUUAUCCCACCUGUACUUUACCAUUAUAUCACUUAAACUGUUACCCAUUUUUUGAUAUUCAUUUUACCGAGUGAUCAUCUGUCCUUCCCUUCAACACAAAAAAAAGCUUUAAAAAGUAGAGAGCUAAGGUAACUGUCAAACACGCAACUCUUGGGGUCUUAAAGAUCUCCUUAUGCUUUGCAGUUUGACACCGUUCAAGAGAACAGAACUAGUAGUGUAAAUAGUUUGCAAGGCAUCUGCCUCCGCAAAAGAGCACUUAUUUCAGUGCAGCUGUGUAAAAUUGACUUUGUCCAGAAGAUAUUUUCUCUAACUUACUAGCAUUAAUGCUCAUUUUCACUUUCAUGUGAUAUAACUUUUCAGUGCAAACAUCUAUAAUUUAAACCUCAUUCACAAAAUUAAAAAAGCUGUUAUUUCCAGAAUCCUUGACUGUCUUAAACAUAUCAUGGUAGCACAGUUUGAACAACAACUAAAUGGUGAUGCAGCUGCUGCUGCUUCUUUUAAGUGGGAAAUCACAGUAAUGUUAACAGUGGACUCAAGUUGCAACUUUAUCACAUCAAAAACUACUUUUGGUAAUACAUAUGUAUAUUAUCGAGGUUCUCGUUCAAGCCUAGUUUUGAUAGAUAUUCAUUGUUAAAUGCAAGUUGGUUAUGGUGACUGCUGUUUGGAUAUGAAAUUUUGAGCUGAAAACUUCAGUGAUGGUGAAAAUGCAAACGUGUGAAAAACAAAGCAGAAAGUUUGUGGUGGCGAAUGAUACAUUUCACAAGCAGUGAUGACCGUAUUAGGUGGAUUUGGCAGAUUAGUCGAUGGAAGAUUACUGACAAUAAGGACCUGGAUGCAAUAUUAAUGCCAUUCAGUGCUGGGAAAUUGGUAUGCAAUUGAUAUUUAAUGAAAAACAUACAAUAUUUCAGGUUCAGUUUAUUCUUACAUUUUGUGCUAAUGUUGAGAAGUCCAAUACAGUUGAACACAAAAUUCCAGAGAACAAAACCACACAUGUAUGUGCAUUAUAGGCAGGCAUAGUGUAACUAGUGUUCAAAAAUUUGUAAUCACCCAGAAAUGUUCCUGUUUUUUAAAGAAACAGUUGAUGCUCUUUUCAUUAAGGUACCAUUAAACCGAUUUAAACAUUAAGCCAAGGCAUUGCUAAUGUUACUAAUGGUCAUAUUCACAUAGGACUGCAGAGUUCCACUUUCAGCAGUCAUUCCUUCAGUGCCCUAAUGGUAAACUCACCUUUCCUCAUCCUUAUUUACUCAUAGUGUCAUCUGCAACAGUGAGAAGAAAAGCUUAAAAUGCGUAAAAGAACACAGAUGGUGGAUUUCUGGGUGAUUCCAAACUUUUGCCCAUUUUAACCCUUUUUUUUUUUUUUUUUUGUUAGUUUCAGAUAUGGCUUUUUCUUUGAAAUGCUUUCUUUAAAGCCACCAUCCUGGAGCCUCCUUCUCCCUGUUGCAGAUGAUACUGGUGCUUGAUGUCUAUUUAAUGAAGAAGUCAAUGGAGGACCUGUAAGCUGUUUCUCAAACUACAUCCUCUAUUCUUCUCCUCUUUUGCUCUUGUCUAUCUGGGCCUCCCCUUCUUUUUCUAUCCUAGUGGGAACCAAUUUGUCCACUGUUCUGAAGACAGUAAUGGACAUCUUUUUAUGAAAUCUUGUUUCUUGCCAAUGUGAAAUGAAAUAAUCUUCAUUCCACAAAACAACAAUAGAUUCAAUUUGGCCAUUUUUGAGCCCAGAACUGAACUUUAGGAGUGCAGGUGCCUUGUAACACAAGUGACCAGAACAGGUGAACCCUCAUGAUGUCCGAAUAGGAUGAAGGGUGAGCACUGGCUUCACUGUUGUCACUGACAUAUUCGUUACAUGGUCUGACCCCAAGUUCAUUAGGGACACUUAUAUGCAACAUUUAAACAGGAUACUGAGAAGAGAAAGAGAACUGGGGGAAAAAAACCUUAGCAACUCUUGAUGAAAACAAUUUCUAUAAUAAUUAAAAAAAAUAAAGCAAUACAAGCAACCUUCACAGCAGUCUUGAUGAAGAGUAGGCCAUGCUAUAAUAGUGGUGCUCUAGCCUUGACGUACUGGUAAAUGCUGAGGUUAGUUGGAACCCUCAAUUGCAAACUGCUUAAUUCAGUUCAGGGGCACGGGAGUGGGGACAAAGCCUAUCCCAGGAGCACUUGGUGCAAGGCAGGGACCAGCUUGAAGUUGCCAGUUAACCAGCAUGUUUUGGCAGAAAGCCAUGUAGACUCGACAUGGACAAUGCCUCGCCAUCUGCUGACAGGUGGAUCAUUCGAAAUGUAACAACAGUGGAAGUGCAGGUGUUUGGAAUUGUGGAUAUGUUCUGCCCAAAAGUUAAAUCAGUGUUAAAAGGUAAUGGGCUGAUUUUGCAGACUAAAGAUCACAUUAUUUGAAUUAAGCAUUGCCUUACCGUUUGCAAAAUUACCACCCAUGAAAAGAAAAAAUAAUUUCAUUUGUUUGCCAUUUCAUCUUGGUAAAACAGUCAACUGAUGCAGUAAUUGAAAGAAUAUUUGCAUGAAUAAUGGCGAGUGUUCCCAACAUCUGAAUGUAUGUUUAUGUAUUUCCAAGUAAAAACCAGUAUAGUACCCUCAGUAAUGGGCAGGCACAAGUGGGCACUGCUGGCCGACUCCCACAUGGACUGUUCAGUCGCUUGCUUUACAGUCACCUUGCAGAAUCCCAUAGUUUUGUUUAGAUGUGCCAUCUGCUUUAUUUUCAGUUUGAGUUUUUAAAGUCUCGGACCACCAAUAAUAAACAAGUCUUGUGGCAAUAAAAGGUGCAUCAUUAUCAAAUUAAAAACUGUGAUCCUGCUGUACAGUUUUGUCCUGACAACAACAAUAAAACUUUUCUUUUUCACAAAAAUGAGCCAUUAUCUUGUCUUAUUAAAGCUAACACUUUGUCUCAAACCUGCUUAAUCCAAUUCAGUACUGCAGACACCAGAGUUAGUUCCAGCAUUAUUGUGUGCAAAGCAGAGAAGAGCCCUGCAGGGGGCAGCAGCUGGUCACAGGCCAAUUAAGAGUCACCAGUUAGGCUGACCAGAGUGUCUCUGGGAUAUGGAUGGAGGACCCAGGAAGGCAUGGAGAGAACAAGCAAACUCGCAUAUGAGGUGUGAACUUUCAUUCUUGUUCAUGUGCUGCGGUUUACUGUUUUCUGAUAUGUUGUCCUCAUUGUUUAAAAUCUUGACUUUAAUAUUUGGGUAUUUUGUUGAUAGAGUAAAUCUGAUAUUUAUA